UACGGAGGAUGCAAGCGUUAUCCAGAUUCAUUGGAUUUAAAGGGUGCGUAGGCGGGCUAUUAAGUCAGUGGUGAAAUCCUGCAGCUUAACUGCAGAACUGCCGUUGAUACUGAUAGUCUUGAGUUUGGUUAAGGUAGGCGGAAUGUGUAAUGUAGCGGUGAAAUGCUUAGAUAUUACACAGAACACCAAUUGCGUAGGCAGCUUACUGAGCCGACACUGACACUGAGGCACGAAAGCGUGGGGAUCAAA
This 249-nucleotide ribosomal RNA is filed under the name uncultured prokaryote. Its description in RNAcentral is "partial 16S ribosomal RNA". It matches the Rfam family "Bacterial small subunit ribosomal RNA", at positions 524 to 772 of the family's 1533-position model. The record is from RNAcentral.